CACCCAGCUGCUGCUUGUCGGACAGGGGCAGGCUGAGUGUGGCUGCUGCUCCUCGGACCAGUGCGGGUUGUGC
Molecule: non-coding RNA, 73 nt
Organism: Eptesicus fuscus (big brown bat)
Lineage: Eukaryota; Metazoa; Chordata; Mammalia; Chiroptera; Vespertilionidae
Source: RefSeq, marked provisional